GGCUCUGAUUUAACGAGCUCUAUGACACCCUAAAUCACAUAAAGAACAGGAGGUUAGUCUGUGUGUGUUUUACUCCACUGUACAGCUAUAGGAAGAUAUUCUUCCACUACAUGGAAAGAACAGCUGGAGCGUCGCGCGCCCGGUGAGAUCCAGCUGUGCUGAACGGGAAUAUUAAACAGAUGUGUAUGUGCUACGUGUAGAACGACACGUUGAAUACAAAACGUCCUGUAGACUACUGAGACCUCGGGAUCUUCUGUGUUUAUAUUAAAAAGCAAAAAGUAUUAUCGUGAUGCAGAAUAGCCUACGGACGUUUCGUGACACUUAAAGCACUGGAUCGCGUUUCAUUUGGAUUGCACUGACUUUUCCCUUCUGUUUCUUCCGAGCAGAAGGUUUGUUUAGCAACAAUGUCCAAGGUCCGAGUUCUUCUUUUUCUCCUACAUCACUUCGUUUUUUCGCUUCUAUCUGCGAGAAUCACUAAAGGUCACAGCACAGGCAGACCAGAUGUGCCACUGACCACAGAGGGAACGUCAUAUGGCGGUGGGCUUCACUCUGUACUGCAGGAUUCAGUCUCACCAGCCUUUGGUGCCACCAUCAUAAUAAUCGUCACUGUGAUUGUAAGUGGAAGCGCCUACCUCUGCUUUCUCAAGUAUAUUUGUGCUGGCUGCUGCAAACCCACACAAGUGGCUCCUGUGACUAAUAUGAACCCCAACAAGAGUGAGGAGCAAGUGUAGUGAGAAGAUUGUUCAUAAGCUGCUAUGAAAUACUUUCAUAAUUCCCCUUUUUAAACCCAGUUCACAUGGACAAAUCUGUAUCAUUAAAAAGCUUCACUUUUUACAACAAUGACUUAUUCUUCAUUUUCUCUGUAAAUUUCAGAGUUCUUCUCUGGGCCUUGUCAUAUCUCUACAUAGCAUAUAAUAUCUUUAUUUUGGUUCUUACAUAUUCCAGUCAUGUAAAAUGUAAGAUAUAUACAAUGGGUAUUUAUAUUCAUAUUAAAUAGGAUUAAUAGUAUUUUUAUUUAAAUGCACCAGAGACUGGAUCUUGUUCAAUGUCAUAAUUUGUAUCUUUUCUUCAGAUGAUUCCUAAAUUGUGACUUGAUUAAAUUGUGGUUAUUUAAGUGCUGUGCAGUUUGUGUUUGUUAACAUUAAAAAAGCUUAAAUUUAGAGGAUUGUGUUGAAUUGCUAGUAGUUUGUUACUAUGUUGUUGUUGUUGUUGUUGUUGCUGUUGUUGGCUGUUCCCUGUUUGGGGUCGACACAGAGGAUCAUCCGAUCUGCAUAUAUUUGGUUUUGGCACAGGUUUUACACUGGAUGCUCUUUGAGACACAACCCCCCCAUUUUAUCUUGCCUCGGAAUCAAACCUGUGCUGUGGCUGUGACAGCGUGGAAUCCUGCCCCUGGACCUCCGGGGACCUGAUAGUAGUUCCUAUAAUGGUCAUAUGUUAAUAUUUUAUUUAUUUAUAAGACCAACAACUUUUUGAUAUCCACUGUACUAAAGCAUCACAUUGAGGUAAUAUUUUCGAAUUCAGUACAUCAUCACACCAUCACCCUUACAGAUAAUCUGUGAUAUCUGAGUCUGAGAUGGAAGUGUGCACUUUUUCAACAGGGUGAGGACACUGAGACACACAAGUCUGUUGUCUCUGAUCCUAUGUUUUUAUGUUAAACAUCCAUAAGCUGUGUGUGUAGCUGCAUAUGUAAAGUGCUUACUCUCUGAUCCUGCUCCAUGUGCCUCAGUGCGUGUAGUUUCUUUGAGAUUUAUAUACAUAUCUGCAUUUGUUUGUUGAUUAACUAUUAUGUUGUCAGGUCUAGAGUUAUCCAAGAUUUUUCCUGGAAGAAAUAAAUAAAUAAAUAAAUAAAUAGAUAGAUAGAUAGAUAGAUAGAUAGAUAGAUAGAUAGAUAGAUAGAUAGAUAGAUAGAUAGAUAGAUAGAUAGAUAGAUAGAUAGAUAGAUAGAUAGAUAGAUAGAUGACAAUAUAAAGCACAUGAACUGAUUGAUAUCUGAGGCUUCUUUGAAAGAGAGGUGGCUAUAUUGCUUUAUUAUAUCAAACGUUUUCCAAAGCUACCUCUGGAGCAACACUUAGAGAAAUCAAUCAGUAAUAGGAGAGACAUAGACAGACAAUAGGGAACAACUCUGGUUGCCAUGACCUCUUCCUAUCUUCCUAUAGUGCUGAAUAAUCAUUUGCAAUACAGAAGACAGAGUAUCGUCUCCGACUGUUUGUGCCAGGUUUCAGUUGUAAUUAUGCUAAAUGUACGAAACUGAAGUAAAAGCAUAAAUGUACAGUUUAUGCAGGGAUUCUGUCCCUCAUCAGGAGAGUGUAGUCAGUACAAACAAGGGUGUAGAAAUGGAAAGUGCAGCUGAUUACAUAUUGUGUUUGAUUUACUGAACACUAGACAGUCAGCACUGGUUAGUUGUGUGAAUAUCAGAAAUUGAGACCAUAUUUUGUACUUUUUGAUCUUGUACAUUCUACAAUGCUGCUUCUGCAUUUGUGCCAGGAUUUCUGGCAACUUUGUUCACAUAGCAUAUUCCCAUAUAUGUAAUAAUCAGUUAUUGCAUCAGAUUCCUCAUUUUUAACAAAAAAAAAGCAACACAGUAAACAACAGAUUAGUGACAUUUUAUUAAAAAUGUUCAGAAGAAAAAAGGGAAUAUAGUUGAAUCGAAUUUUACUUUUCCUAAUUUUUUUUAGUCCCAGUGUUUUUGAAGUUUGAUCAUUUCCACUUUGCUCAUAUACACAGGGCAUUUAUUGUGCAGAACAAGGCUCAUUUUGCACUAUGACUGACAGAUAAUGUCAAAUUCUUUAUGAAUGUAUUUUACCUCAUCAAGUGAUGUUUGAAAAGAGUUAAUCUGUGAGAAAAGAGUUAAUCAGCUUUUAUUCGAGAUCCUUUAUUUGUAUUUUCCUGAAAAUGAUGAGGAAAGAUCUGUAUUGUGUUUCUACAGUCACUCACAUGUCUGGAGACUGUAGUUAUGCUCUGUAUUUCCCAUUUGAAGUUAAUUGCAUUGGAAUGAUAAUGUUAACAGUAAAUAAAACAACACUCAAAUUCAAA
This is a long non-coding RNA of Tachysurus fulvidraco (yellow catfish), 3033 nucleotides long. RefSeq lists it as uncharacterized. The transcript has 2 exons. Lineage: Eukaryota; Metazoa; Chordata; Actinopteri; Siluriformes; Bagridae. The record is from RefSeq and is a predicted model, not a curated record.